RNAcentral lists this ribosomal RNA (414 nucleotides) under Triticum aestivum (bread wheat). RNAcentral's name for it is "partial small subunit ribosomal RNA". Lineage: Eukaryota; Viridiplantae; Streptophyta; Magnoliopsida; Poales; Poaceae. The record is from RNAcentral.
AUGUGUAAUGUGACAAAUAUUGCACAUGGUUCUUUUUUUCUCCGCAGACAUGGUUCAUUUAGGAUAACUUUGUUUGAUGUCACAGAGAUUGCACGAGGUUUUGUACCCAAACUUUGUGGAAUGCCAUAUAUGAAUUAUUACACGGUAUUUUUUCCCAAGGAGAUAACAACCAUGGAUUUUCCAUGGAUGAUGAAAAUACUUUUCUUGGUAUGUCUCCUUGACUGCAAUGGUAUCAUAACUCGAGCUGACCUACCAUCCCAAACACCACCAACCUUCAUUUGUCUAAAUAGAGAGUUCCUCCCCCUCCCGCUCCGCCACCUAUAUAUUCUACCUCAUAUUUACUUGAGCAUGGUAGAAAGCAUCAUAUGUUAUUGUUUCACGCCUCGCUUUUUCUAUCAAAACUCUUCCAUUUGA